This 371-nucleotide ribosomal RNA is filed under the name uncultured organism. RNAcentral describes it as "partial 16S ribosomal RNA". It matches the Rfam family "Bacterial small subunit ribosomal RNA", at positions 527 to 896 of the family's 1533-position model. The record is from RNAcentral.
GUAGGUGGCAAGCGUUGUCCGGAAUUAUUGGGCGUAAAGCGCGCGCAGGGCGGUCCUUUAAGUCUGAUGUGAAAGCCCACGGCUCAACCGUGGAGGGUCAUUGGAAACUGGGGGACUUGAGUACAGAAGAGGAAAGCGGAAUUCCAAGUGUAGCGGUGAAAUGCGUAGAGAUUUGGAGGAACACCAGUGGCGAAGGCGGCUUUCUGGUCUGUAACUGACGCUGAGGCGCGAAAGCGUGGGGAGCAAACAGGAUUAGAUACCCUGGUAGUCCACGCCGUAAACGAUGAGUGCUAAGUGUUGGGGGUUUCCGCCCCUUAGUGCUGCAGCUAACGCAUUAAGCACUCCGCCUGGGGAGUACGGCCGCAAGGCUG